RNAcentral lists this unclassified non-coding RNA (725 nucleotides) under Hevea brasiliensis (rubber tree). The record is from RNAcentral. Lineage: Eukaryota; Viridiplantae; Streptophyta; Magnoliopsida; Malpighiales; Euphorbiaceae.
UAAGGGUGCUUUUAUGAUUGGAGUAGGCUGCUUAUGCUGGUCUAGUUUCAUCAUCCUUCAGGCAAUAACUCUAAAGACAUACCCUGCAGAGCUCUCCCUAACAGUUUUGAUAUGCUUGGUGGGCACCAUUGAAGGCUCUAUAUUUGCUCUUAUAAUUGAAAGGGGAAAUCCCUCUGCUUGGUCUAUACACUUUGAUUCUAGGUUAUUAGCUGCUGUUUACGGUGUAUUUUGGAUGCAGGGGGUAAUUUGCUCAGGAGUUGCAUAUUAUGUACAAGGACUGGCAAUGAAGAGCAAAGGUCCUGUUUUUGUGACUGCCUUCAAUCCUUUAAGCAUGGUUAUUGUUACGAUUUUGGGCUCCUUUGUCUUAUCAGAGAUAGUCUACUUAGGAAGGGUAAUCGGAGCAUCAGCCAUCGUCAUUGGGCUAUACCUAGUUUUGUGGGGUAAGAGCAAGGAUCAAUCUCCAUUAACUUCAACAAAUGAUAAGGUAGCUGCAACUGCUUCAGAAAUGGACACCAUAAAUGAGAGUCUUGAGACUUCAAAUCAAGAAUUCGUUGCCAUUGAUGUCAUCAAAGUGAAACCUACUGGUGAAUCUGCUUGAAGGAAUUUUUAUUCAGUUACAAAAGUAAUUAGCAAUAAUUGCAUGGAAUUAAUUAACCAACUUUCAUUCAGCUGGCCUUGUUUAUUAAUUUCUAAACGUGUUUUUGUCCUUUUUUUUUAAAAAAAAA